UACGAAGGUCCCAAGCGUUAUCCGGAUUUAUUGGGCUUAAAGGGUGCGUAGGCGGGCUAUUAAGUCAGUGGUGAAAGCCCCAAGCUUAACUUGGGAACUGCCAUUGAUACUGAUGGUCUUGAGUACUUUUGAGGUGGGCGGAAUGUGUCAUGUAGCGGUGAAAUGCUUAGAUAUGACACAGAACACCGAUUGCGAAGGCAGCUCACUGAACUGUAACUGACGCUGAGGCACGAAAGCGUGGGGAGCAAACAGG
Molecule: ribosomal RNA, 253 nt
Filed under: uncultured bacterium
Lineage: Bacteria
Description: partial 16S ribosomal RNA
Rfam family: Bacterial small subunit ribosomal RNA
Source: RNAcentral